UUUGUGACUAUGAUGAGAAGAGUAGAUAAGUAUUUCUUUCAAAGAGAGCUCCGGAAGCUGGGAAGGAGUAAAGAAGACUUAUUGAACCAGGUCUCUGAGUUUCGCUAUAAGCCUAGUAACUAGGGAAAAGCGACGGCGGCUACCGAUAAUAGCUAAAGUAAUUAUUUACUUAAUGAGGCUUAUAUGGAGACGUAUAAGCAAAUUAAGGUGGUACCACGAGUUCUAGCUCUCGUCCUUAAG
Molecule: non-coding RNA, 240 nt
Filed under: Clostridium sp.
Lineage: Bacteria; Bacillati; Bacillota; Clostridia; Eubacteriales; Clostridiaceae
Description: T-box sequence
Rfam family: T-box leader
About the family: Uncharged tRNA acts as the effector for transcription antitermination of genes in the T-box leader family. T-boxes are found upstream of many aminoacyl-tRNA synthetase genes and some amino acid biosynthetic genes usually in Gram-positive bacteria. The anticodon of a specific tRNA base pairs to a specifier sequence within the T-box motif, and the NCCA acceptor tail of the tRNA base pairs to a conserved bulge in the T-box antiterminator hairpin.
Source: RNAcentral